AAGACCUGUAAUACUCUAAAAUACAUCACCUGAUUGCAACUCAGCUGCUUUGAUUAAGCUAAGAUCUU
Molecule: transfer RNA, 68 nt
Filed under: Gekko mindorensis
Lineage: Eukaryota; Metazoa; Chordata; Lepidosauria; Squamata; Gekkonidae
Description: tRNA-Ala
Source: RNAcentral